This is a long non-coding RNA of Neltuma alba, 398 nucleotides long. RefSeq lists it as uncharacterized. The record is from RefSeq and is a predicted model, not a curated record. The transcript is spliced from 2 exons. Lineage: Eukaryota; Viridiplantae; Streptophyta; Magnoliopsida; Fabales; Fabaceae.
AUGUGCAAUUUUCGAUAGCAUUAAGCUCAGAGAUGUGACUUCCGGCUAGCUUUCAGCCUCGAAGUUCCAAAACCGUCUCUUGAAAGCUCAAAGCAUGCUUGUCGUGACCAUUUCCAUUGGAGAGAAGGGAUUUUGCUAGAGAAGACGGUGGAGGAAGAAGAAAGAGAAGCUACCCUGAUAAGAGAAAAAAUGUGGUCCGCCUCAGCAUAAUGCUACUGACAUGGCAACUUAUCCGAUGGGGUAGACGUAUUUUAGGCGCACAGUGAGCUUAGAGCAACAUUGUUACGUUUUGUAAACUUUUAGGUUACAUUAUGUCAAAAAAAACAUCCAGAUAGUCAAAGCCCCUCAAUGAACACUUUUGGGACAAAAAUAAACCUUAUUCUUUUACUUAUUUAAAA